Molecule: ribosomal RNA, 253 nt
Filed under: uncultured bacterium
Lineage: Bacteria
Description: partial 16S ribosomal RNA
Rfam family: Bacterial small subunit ribosomal RNA
Source: RNAcentral
UACGUAGGGAGCAAGCGUUGUCCGGAUUUACUGGGUGUAAAGGGUGCGUAGGCGGCUUUGCAAGUCAGAAGUGAAAUCCAUGGGCUUAACCCAUGAACUGCUUUUGGAACUGCAGAGCUUGAGUGGAGUAGAGGUAGGCGGAAUUCCCGGUGUAGCGGUGAAAUGCGUAGAGAUCGGGAGGAACACCAGUGGCGAAGGCGGCCUGCUGGGCUCUAACUGACGCUGAGGCACGAAAGCGUGGGUAGCAAACAGG